RNAcentral lists this ribosomal RNA (512 nucleotides) under uncultured bacterium. Its description in RNAcentral is "bacterial SSU rRNA". It matches the Rfam family "Bacterial small subunit ribosomal RNA", at positions 996 to 1509 of the family's 1533-position model. The record is from RNAcentral.
CUUAGCAGAGAUGCUUUGGUGCCUUCGGGAACUCUGAGACAGGUGCUGCAUGGCUGUCGUCAGCUCGUGUUGUGAAAUGUUGGGUUAAGUCCCGNAACGAGCGCAACCCUUAUCCUUUGUUGCAGCGGUUCGGCCGGGAACUCAAAGGAGACUGCCGGUGAUAAACCGGAGGAAGGUGGGGAUGACGUCAAGUCAUCAUGGCCCUUACGGCCAGGGCUACACACGUGCUACAAUGGCGCAUACAAAGAGAAGCGACCUCGCGAGAGCAAGCGGACCUCAUAAAGUGCGUCGUAGUCCGGAUUGGAGUCUGCAACUCGACUCCAUGAAGUCGGAAUCGCUAGUAAUCGUAGAUCAGAAUGCUACGGUGAAUACGUUCCCGGGCCUUGUACACACCGCCCGUCACACCAUGGGAGUGGGUUGCAAAAGAAGUAGGUAGCUUAACCUUCGGGAGGGCGCUUACCACUUUGUGAUUCAUGACUGGGGUGAAGUCGUAACAAGGUAAGCGUAGCGAG